UACGGAGGAUGCAAGCGUUAUCCGGAUUCAUUGGGUUUAAAGGGUGCGUAGGCGGCUCUUUAAGUCAGUGGUGAAAUCCUGCCGCUUAACGGUAGAAUUGCCAUUGAUACUGAAGAGCUUGAGUACAGUUGAGGUAGGCGGAAUGUGUAGUGUAGCGGUGAAAUGCUUAGAUAUUACACAGAACACCGAUUGCGAAGGCAGCUUACUAAACUGUUACUGACGCUGAUGCACGAAAGCGUGGGGAGCGAACAGG
This 253-nucleotide ribosomal RNA is filed under the name uncultured bacterium. RNAcentral describes it as "partial 16S ribosomal RNA". It matches the Rfam family "Bacterial small subunit ribosomal RNA", at positions 524 to 776 of the family's 1533-position model. The record is from RNAcentral.